This 465-nucleotide ribosomal RNA is filed under the name Vreelandella stevensii. Its description in RNAcentral is "partial 16S ribosomal RNA". It matches the Rfam family "Bacterial small subunit ribosomal RNA", at positions 338 to 795 of the family's 1533-position model. Lineage: Bacteria; Pseudomonadati; Pseudomonadota; Gammaproteobacteria; Oceanospirillales; Halomonadaceae. The record is from RNAcentral.
CCUACGGGCGGCUGCAGUGGGGAAUAUUGGACAAUGGGCGAAAGCCUGAUCCAGCCAUGCCGCGUGUGUGAAGAAGGCCUUCGGGUUGUAAAGCACUUUCAGUGGGGAAGAAAGCCUUGGGGCUAAUACCCUCGAGGAAGGACAUCACCCACAGAAGAAGCACCGGCUAACUCCGUGCCAGCAGCCGCGGUAAUACGGAGGGUGCGAGCGUUAAUCGGAAUUACUGGGCGUAAAGUGCGCGUAGGCGGUCUGAUAAGCCGGUUGUGAAAGCCCCGGGCUCAACCUGGGAACGGCAUCCGGAACUGUCAGGCUAGAGUGCAGGAGAGGAAGGUAGAAUUCCCGGUGUAGCGGUGAAAUGCGUAGAGAUCGGGAGGAAUACCAGUGGCGAAGGCGGCCUUCUGGACUGACACUGACGCUGAGGUGCGAAAGCGUGGGUAGCAAAUAGGAUUAGAUACCCCUGUAGUC